This 317-nucleotide ribosomal RNA is filed under the name uncultured Halomonas sp. RNAcentral describes it as "bacterial LSU rRNA". It matches the Rfam family "Bacterial large subunit ribosomal RNA", at positions 35 to 363 of the family's 2925-position model. The record is from RNAcentral. Lineage: Bacteria; Pseudomonadati; Pseudomonadota; Gammaproteobacteria; Oceanospirillales; Halomonadaceae.
CGGCCGCGUCGACGGCAGCCAGAGGCGAUGAAAGACGUGGUAGCCUGCGAUAAGACUCGGUGAGGUGGCAACCAACCUGUCGGACCCCGGGCUACUUUACCGAAGUACGGGGAAACCCCACCAGUAUUUAUCGUGGUAUCGUAUGAUGAAUACAUAGUCAUACGAGGACCGGAACCGGGAAGAACUAGAAACAUACUAACGUACCCCGAAGGAAAAGAAUACCAACCGAGACUCCCUUAGUAGCGGCGAGACGAAGGGGCUAGCCCUUAAGUUGGUGAAGAAUUAGUGGAAGGCUCUGGAAAGUGCCGCGAUACAGG